Molecule: signal recognition particle RNA, 99 nt
Filed under: Burkholderiaceae bacterium
Lineage: Bacteria; Pseudomonadati; Pseudomonadota; Betaproteobacteria; Burkholderiales; Burkholderiaceae
Description: signal recognition particle sRNA small type
Rfam family: Bacterial small signal recognition particle RNA
About the family: The signal recognition particle (SRP) is a universally conserved ribonucleoprotein involved in the co-translational targeting of proteins to membranes. Archaeal SRP consists of a 7S RNA and homologues of the eukaryotic SRP19 and SRP54 proteins.
Source: RNAcentral
GACGGGCCUCCUCGCAUUGCGGCUCGGUGAACCUGGUCAGGUCCGGAAGGAAGCAGCCACAGCCGUCAACCGGAAGUGCCGAGGGUCGGGCUCGUCCAC